Molecule: long non-coding RNA, 372 nt
Organism: Impatiens glandulifera
Lineage: Eukaryota; Viridiplantae; Streptophyta; Magnoliopsida; Ericales; Balsaminaceae
Exons: 3
Source: RefSeq, a predicted model, not a curated record
GGACAGCUUAAUCGUGUUGAGUUUGUCCAUUCGAAAUCAUUCCUUCAUCGAGAUAUUAAGCCCGACAAUUUUCUCAUGGGCUUAGGAGGACGUGCAAAUCAGGUUUAGUUAAGAAAUACUUUGACUUUGAUUUGGCUAAGAAAUACAGAGAUUCUUCCACCCAUUACAGGUCGAGCAAGACUCUGAUGAAGUUUAUGAGCAAGUUACUUUAAUGUCGGAGCAAGAUGUAAGACCUAAACAUCUAGCUCCUAGAUCUGUUUAAUGUUGACAACGUUUAACUGAAGUGUACAUUGUUUUAUAUUGUUUAAACAGCCUCAAAAUGAUUUGUGGAUUUAUGAUUGUGAUUUGUGGAUGAUUGUGAUUUUUGGAUUA